This is a long non-coding RNA of Electrophorus electricus (electric eel), 497 nucleotides long. Lineage: Eukaryota; Metazoa; Chordata; Actinopteri; Gymnotiformes; Gymnotidae. The record is from Ensembl.
CUCAAAUCCCUCCCUGCAUGAGCACCCCAAACCAUCAGCUCCACCUGUCCAGGGAUCCACGUCCUCAUCUAGCGAUGACUGGCUGAGCCAAGACAGGGAGGAAAAUGAGAGCCGUCAGUAUAACUGCCCAGGUCAUGCCUCCAAAACACAGCAGAGUCUCACCUUUAGGACAGCGGCGUGCUAUCUGCACACACUAUGCUAUCCUGGGUGUGAAGGCCGAGUGAGUUUGCUCUAUCUGACACUGCAGAACCUUUAUGUGCAUACAGCUCAACUGCAGCAGGAGAAAUGGGAUAUAUUUCUCCAGAUUCUAGGGACUCUAUUCAGCAGAGAGAAUGAUCUUCUAAACAAGCAAUUCCAGCAACAAGAAAAGGAUGUAGAACAGCUGAAGAGGGGUAUGCCAUCUGAACUACUGCCCUGGGAGAAGAUGGCAGUACCCAGCCCAUCAGUCUGUUCCACAGAGGAUGUGGAGAAAGCAGGAAGAGAGAAACUGGACCACA